UGGGCCCGAGGGAAAAGGUGGCCUCUGCAAGCAAGCUAUCACAGGGAGAUGAGUCCGCGGCCCAUCAGCUAGUUGGCGGGGUAAGAGCCCACCAAGGCAACGACGGGUAGCUGGUCUGAGAGGAUGAUCAGCCACACUGGAACUGAGACACGGUCCAGACUCCUACGGGAGGCAGCAGUGGGGAAUCUUGCGCAAUGGGCGAAAGCCUGACGCAGCAACGCCGCGUGUGUGAUGAAGGUCUUCGGAUCGUAAAGCACUGUCGCGAGGGAAGAUACGCCGGCGGCCAACAUCCGCCGGCUGAGACGGUACCUCGAGAGGAAGCACCGGCUAACUCUGUGCCAGCAGCCGCGGUAA
Molecule: ribosomal RNA, 354 nt
Filed under: uncultured delta proteobacterium
Lineage: Bacteria; Deltaproteobacteria
Description: bacterial SSU rRNA
Rfam family: Bacterial small subunit ribosomal RNA
Source: RNAcentral